AAAAAAAAGAGCUCACCUAAUUGAAGCAAUUUGAAAAUUUUCUUAAUAAAAUAAUGUGCCAAAAGAAAUUAGUGAAAUAACUAAUAAAAUGAACAUGCAAUUAUCCAGAAAAUGGUGUAUGAAAAAUUCUAGUACUUGAUGCCAUAUUGUAACAUUAAACAUAAAAUUAUGUUAACAAUACACACCAAAAGAGAACUGAAUAAAAUGCUAAUCUGAGAAACUACUAAGAAAUGCCUUGAAAAAAACUGAAUAUUCUAGACUAGCUUAUAAAUCAUCAUCAGAAUUCCCAAUUCAAGUCCUUAACAUUUUUAUCUUGACCACCAGAUUGAUAGCCUUUACUUUCUUUUCGAUCUAUUUCAUCUGAAUUAUCAUAUCUUCAAAUACGGCCAUGAAAUUGAAGCUUUGGAAUUUGCACGAGACUUUUACUGCUUGAUUGAUUUGGCUUAGUUUCUUGGUGAUGCAGUCAAGAAGUCAAGGAAG
Molecule: unclassified non-coding RNA, 480 nt
Filed under: Hevea brasiliensis (rubber tree)
Lineage: Eukaryota; Viridiplantae; Streptophyta; Magnoliopsida; Malpighiales; Euphorbiaceae
Source: RNAcentral